RNAcentral lists this long non-coding RNA (1611 nucleotides) under Zea mays. RNAcentral's name for it is "long non-coding RNA (ZMAY_LNC001513)". The record is from RNAcentral. Lineage: Eukaryota; Viridiplantae; Streptophyta; Magnoliopsida; Poales; Poaceae.
UCGUAACAAAAAAUCAACAUUGACCCAAGGUUCUACAGCAGCAGCAGGUAAAUAUUUUCUUCAUAUAUAUUUGUGUAUAAGUGUAGAGAUGGAUUAAAAACUGAGUGAAUGGUACUAUUGCAUAACUGUGCAUCUGAAUCGUUCUCUGAUUUUGUAGACAAUUCUUGUCUCUAAUAUGUAAUUGUUUGCAAUGGAUCAUAAUUGUUUGCUUGGAUGUUUGGCUCUUCUGCUGGUGCUUUAGGAAACCUCCUAGGUGGCAUUGCUCUCAGCUAUUUUUCUCCCAAAGUCUUGUUUCUGUUUUUCACAAUCCUUCUCCAGCUCUUCAGUACAUCACUUCAGCUCAGUUCUGUUCAUUUCUGUUCUGUUCAGUACAUCAUUUCUGCUCAGUUCUGUUCAUCAGUACAUUAUUUCUGCUCAGUUCUGUUCGAUCAGUUCAGUUCUGUUCAGCCACUCGGUUGAUACAUUUUCUGGUUACAAGCCAUUCACUGAUGCAACACUUUAGCAGAAUCUGAAAUCUGAAAUCUAUAAUAGCUUCAGGAACUCGGUUUAUACCAAACCUCCUAGGUGGCAUUGCUCUCAGCUAUUUUUUCCCAAAGUCAUGUUUCUGUUUUUUUUUUGCAAUCCUUCUCUUGCUGCAGUUCUUCAGUACAUCACUUCAGCUCAGUUCAGUUCUGUUCUGUUCAGUACAUCAUUUCUGCUCAGAUCUGUUCAUCAGUACAUCAUUUCUGCUCAGUUCGGUUCGAUCAUUUUAGUUCUGCUCAGUUCUGUUCAGCCACUCGGUUGAUACAUUUUCUGGUUACAAGCCAUUCACUGAUGCAUCUCUUCAACAAUCAGGUAGUAGACAUGAAUAUGAAAUCUGCAAUCUGAAAUCUGUAAUAACUUAAGGAACUCGGUUGAUACUAGGAAUCUGAAAUCUGUACACAUAAAUCAUUCACUCACACAUGUUGAAAUAGCUUCAGGAACUACUCUAUACAAUCUGUACAAUCACUUCCAUGUCGAAAUAGCUUCAGGAACUACUCUAUACAAUCUCUGAAAAAAACACUAUGAAAUGAAUUCUUGAAGGCCACCAGCUUGAAGGCGCCCGGCUUGAACCAUCACAUCUUCUACGACGAUGCAAGCGAGAUCAUUUGUUGGAUCAGAGAUCAAUGACUGAGAUUGUAUAUGUGCACUAUAUAUAUGCACCUCUCCAUCAUUUGCAUUGGAUAUUUUCCCUUCUUUGUAAUCAUGUGCAUUCAUUACAUAAAUAUAUGUAUUAAUAGACCUUUAUUGCACUUUCAGUUUGUAUUUUCUGUUGGGAGUUUAUAGACCUGCUGAUACAAUAAUUGACAUAUUAUCAAAUUAUGUUGUAGGAAGAGGAGCCGGAAGCAAGGAUCAGAUUGCUUGAAGUGUGAAAAAAAUGAUUACUCGCAUGCAUGCUAGCUGUUGGCGUAACACCCAGCCGAUGGAGAGAUUUUAGUUUGCUAGAUGUAUAUUUGUACUUUUGCAUGUAAUAGAACUGAAAGAUCACUUCAAAAAUUUAGGAAAUUCGUGUAUGCUACUAUUUUUAUAUGUUCAUCACAGGAAUCGUGUUCUAAACAAAUAUAUGUUGGAAUUCAAAGUCAAAGAUUGAUC